UACGUAGGGGGCAAGCGUUGUCCGGAUUUAUUGGGCGUAAAGAGCGUGUAGGCGGCCAGGUAGGUCAGCUGUGAAAACUCGAGGCUCAACCUCGAGACGUCGGUUGAAACCGUUUGGCUAGAGUCCGGAAGAGGAGAGUGGAAUUCCCGGUGUAGCGGUGAAAUGCGCAGAUAUCGGGAAGAACACCCGUGGCGAAGGCGGCUCUCUGGGACGGUACUGACGCUGAGACGCGAAAGCGUGGGGAGCGAACAGG
This 253-nucleotide ribosomal RNA is filed under the name uncultured bacterium. RNAcentral's name for it is "partial 16S ribosomal RNA". It matches the Rfam family "Bacterial small subunit ribosomal RNA", at positions 524 to 776 of the family's 1533-position model. The record is from RNAcentral.